This is a non-coding RNA of Paecilomyces variotii, 92 nucleotides long. Lineage: Eukaryota; Fungi; Ascomycota; Eurotiomycetes; Eurotiales; Thermoascaceae. The record is from the annotation of a RefSeq genome assembly.
GCCGGGCUAGCUCAAUCGGUAGAGCGUGCGGCUCUUAAAAUCCACACUUCGUGGUCACCGCAAGGCUGCGGGUUCGACCCCCGCGUUCGGCU